UCGAGUUUACAACUCCCAAACCCAUGUGAACAUACCAUAUGUUGCUUCGGCGGGAUCGCCCCGGGCGCCAUCGCGUGCCCCGGACCCAGGCGCCCGCCGGGGGACCUAAACUCCUGUAUUUUCUACGUCUCUCUGAGUGGAUUACACAAAUAAUCA
RNAcentral lists this unclassified non-coding RNA (156 nucleotides) under uncultured Clonostachys. RNAcentral describes it as "sequence contains ITS1". The record is from RNAcentral. Lineage: Eukaryota; Fungi; Ascomycota; Sordariomycetes; Hypocreales; Bionectriaceae.